GUCAGGGUCUGAGGUUAACCCCCCAGCACCAUAAAUGAAUAAAUAAAAAUGGUGGCUCAAGAAUUUAUACAUAGAAGGAUGGACGGGGCGCUCUUGCUGAACGAAAGCUGAUCUGUGACAGCAGUGGAACCCUGCAGUUCGAUUCUCAGCCUGUCUGCCUCCUGCCCUGGGCUUCCCUCCUCUGCCAAGUCACAGCCAAGUUUCGCCUCGCUAACUGCGACAGCCUUUGGAUGUUUAUUUUUGCUGGCCAAGACCUGCCCUCUGUCUGCCAGCAGAGCCAGCUGAAACAGAUGGAGCCACUACUGAAGCCCCUGGCUUCCUUCAGUCCCACGCAGUUCUGAACUUCACCUUCGCCUACAAGCCCCUGCCCGCCUGUCCACUGAGGCCGCUCUCACCAUCCCCUCCCUGGCCUUCUCCAGCCAAAGAGCUCUGGCCUGCUCUGCAAGCGCCCGCGGUUCUUGAGCGCCUCCCAGCCUGUGCAGACCUCAAUUCCAACCCUGCACAGGCAACAUAGGUCCACAGUAUAGAAGUGAAAAGGCUCAGGAGGGUGUAUAUCUCAGAACUCUCUCCUAUGCCUUCCUUUCCUGCCCUACAGCAACCUCUUUAGAGGCAUCACAGGUACCAUUUAUUCUCUUAUGUGGUCUUCUGGAAAUAAUUUAUGCACAAAUAAAUACGUAAAAGCUCUUUCCCUCCUGGCUCAAAUCGCAGCAUUCCACACAUCCUGCUCUGCACCUUCUUUAAGUUAAACAGAUUGUGAAGUUCAUCAUGGUCCUUUUCUUUUUUGUGGCUGUAUACUAUUCCAGAGUAGGGAGUCAUGUCAUGACUGACUUAAGCAACACUUUACACUUGGAUGUUUCCCAUCUUUCCGUGCAUGCUGCAAUGAAGAACUUUGAAUUAAGCCGGACAUGGUGGUGCUUGCCUGUAACUCCAGCAUUUAAGA
Molecule: long non-coding RNA, 940 nt
Organism: Fukomys damarensis (Damara mole-rat)
Lineage: Eukaryota; Metazoa; Chordata; Mammalia; Rodentia; Bathyergidae
Exons: 3
Source: RefSeq, a predicted model, not a curated record